CCUACGGGAGUCAGCAGUAAGGGAUAUUGGUCAAUGGGGGAAACCCUGAACCAGCAACGCCGCGUGAGGGAAGACGGUUUUCGGAUUGUAAACCUCUGUCCUCUGUGAAGAUGGUGACGGUAGCAGAGGAGGAAGCUCCGGCUAACUACGUGCCAGCAGCCGCGGUAAUACGUAGGGAGCCAGCGGUGUCGGGAUUUACGGGGUGUAAGGGGUGCGUAGGCGGCUUUGGAAGUCGGUAGUGAUAUCCACGGGCUCAACCCAAGAACGGCAAUUGAUACUGGCGAGCUGGAGUGAAGUAGAGGGAGGCGGAAUUCCCGGUGUAGCAGUGAAAUGCGUAGAGAUCGGGAGGAACACCAGUGGCGAAGGCGGCCUCCUGGACUUUAACUGACGCUGAGGCACGAAGGCGUGGGUAGCAAACGGGAUUAGAUACCCCAGUAGUC
This 440-nucleotide ribosomal RNA is filed under the name uncultured bacterium. RNAcentral's name for it is "partial 16S ribosomal RNA". It matches the Rfam family "Bacterial small subunit ribosomal RNA", at positions 338 to 795 of the family's 1533-position model. The record is from RNAcentral.